ACGUACCACCCGAACGUUAUUCGGAUUUACUGGGCUUAAAUAGUCCGUAGGCGGCCAAGUAGGUUGGGUGUGAAAUACCUCGGCUUAACCGAGGAGCUGCAUUCAAAACUACUUGGCUUGAGAGAGACAGAGGUGAGCGGAACUGAUGGUGGAGCGGUGAAAUGCGUUGAUAUCAUCAGGAACACCGGUGGCGAAAGCGGCUCACUGGGUCUUAUCUGACGCUCAGGGACGAAAGCUAGGGGAGCGAACGGGAUUAGAUACCCCGGUAGUCCUAGCCUUAAACGAUGAGCACUAGAUCGUAGGGACCUCCACAUCCUUUCGGUCGUAGGGAAACUGUUAAGUGCUCCGCCUGGGGAGUAUGGUCGCAAGGCUG
Molecule: ribosomal RNA, 373 nt
Filed under: uncultured bacterium
Lineage: Bacteria
Description: bacterial SSU rRNA
Rfam family: Bacterial small subunit ribosomal RNA
Source: RNAcentral